Molecule: transfer RNA, 73 nt
Filed under: Ictidomys tridecemlineatus (thirteen-lined ground squirrel)
Lineage: Eukaryota; Metazoa; Chordata; Mammalia; Rodentia; Sciuridae
Description: Spermophilus tridecemlineatus (thirteen-lined ground squirrel) tRNA
Rfam family: tRNA
About the family: Transfer RNA (tRNA) molecules are approximately 80 nucleotides in length. Their secondary structure includes four short double-helical elements and three loops (D, anti-codon, and T loops). Further hydrogen bonds mediate the characteristic L-shaped molecular structure. tRNAs have two regions of fundamental functional importance: the anti-codon, which is responsible for specific mRNA codon recognition, and the 3' end, to which the tRNAs corresponding amino acid is attached (by aminoacyl-tRNA synthetases). tRNAs cope with the degeneracy of the genetic code in two manners: having more than one tRNA (with a specific anti-codon) for a particular amino acid; and 'wobble' base-pairing, i.e. permitting non-standard base-pairing at the 3rd anti-codon position.
Source: Rfam by way of RNAcentral
GAGGAUAUAACUCAGUUGGUAGAGUGCUUGCUUUGCAUGCAUCAGGCCCUGGGUUCGAUUCCCAGCAGCACCA